UACGUAGGGGGCAAGCGUUGUCCGGAAUCAUUGGGCGUAAAGAGCGUGUAGGCGGCCCGAUAAGUCCGCUGUGAAAGUCCAGGGCUCAACCCUGGAAUGCCGGUGGAUACUGUCGGGCUCGAAUCCGGAAGAGGUGAGUGGAAUUCCUGGUGUAGCGGUGAAAUGCGCAGAUAUCAGGAGGAACACCGGUGGCGAAGGCGGGUCUCUGGGCCGAUACUGACGCUGGAGGAGCGAAAGCGUCGGGGAGCGAACAGG
Molecule: ribosomal RNA, 255 nt
Filed under: uncultured bacterium
Lineage: Bacteria
Description: partial 16S ribosomal RNA
Rfam family: Bacterial small subunit ribosomal RNA
Source: RNAcentral